CCCGCUCUGUGUGCGCCGCGCUGUGUGCCGCUCACUGUCCGCCGCUGGUCGCUCUCGGGGAGCGUGAUUCCUCCGUCCCACGCUGUGUUGGCCGGGAUCGCCUGAUCGGACGACUGACCGUAACGGCGCAGCGCCGACUAAUCCGCUCCUAGAACCGCUGCUGCUUUGCUUCCGCUUUGUCUCUUCACUUCUUUGCCUCAUUUAAAGAGAUUAUUUGGACUGAUUGCUGUGCCUCAUUGGAACUGUGUGUUUGAAGAACUGAUCGCCUCGCUUGCAUCGGCAUUUGCCGCUCCGCCGGUCGCUUGGUAACGCGUCUCCGAUAGUUGGCGCAGCUUCAUCUUAAACUGUGUGUGUGUGUGUGUGUGUGUGUGUGUGUGUGUGUACUUGCAUGAGAGGACAGUGUGGGAAUAUACAUUUGAUUUUGUUCCUUUCUGGUUAUUUCUUUGAUUUCGUUUGUAAUUUGUUUUGCUGUAACCCAUAAUUACAAUUAUUCUGUUAGUUUUGGGUUAUUAUGGGUUGCUUUCCAGUUGCUUUUAUAUAGAAUUUUGUUUAUUUGUCAUUGGGUCUAAUUAUUAUAAUUCCUGUACAAUUAAUUCUUUGAUUUCUCUUUUGUUAUUAGUUAUUGUUUUGUUUCAUUAUUUGUUGUAGUCUAAUUUGUUGCUUUCUGGUCGCCCCCAUUCAGGUGCUGAGCCUACGGUGGUGGAUUGGUGUCCUGGUCACGGUGUCCCCUUUUUGUUGUGUUAGCACUUUGUAGCUUCUUUGUUUUGUUUACUUUUAUUUGCUUCACGUGUGGUGUUCCUGGGAUCCCCUUUUAUUUUGGAUACGGUUUAUCGCUGUAGGUCUCAGCACUGAUUGGUUCCCCUUAUAUGUCCCCUUACGUGAGUAAUUCUUUUAUAUUAUUUUUAAAAUAGAAAUUUGUGUAAAUAAAAGUGUUUUUGUAUUAUUGAA
This is a long non-coding RNA of Solea solea (common sole), 948 nucleotides long. RefSeq lists it as uncharacterized. Lineage: Eukaryota; Metazoa; Chordata; Actinopteri; Pleuronectiformes; Soleidae. The transcript is spliced from 2 exons. The record is from RefSeq and is a predicted model, not a curated record.